This 295-nucleotide unclassified non-coding RNA is filed under the name Drosophila yakuba. RNAcentral describes it as "GE28615". Lineage: Eukaryota; Metazoa; Arthropoda; Insecta; Diptera; Drosophilidae. The record is from RNAcentral.
GGGAUACUUGGCCGCCGUAUGCGAACACAAUGCCCGAGAACCGGCGAUACGGUCUGGUGAUAACAAACCAGAGUUCGGACGCGGACGGUGUGGACACCGUUGCCCUAAUUGUGAACGCCAACCGACGCCGAUGCGUAGAAUGCCGCGCUGUUCUUCUUACUUAUAACGGGGAUUUCAUCUGGCGCUGCUGUUUGCCACCAUAGGCUUCAUACCUCAACCUUAGCUAACAUGACGUUCGACUCCAGCAUGCUAGUGGUCUGCGAGGAUGAGGAAACCGCCCAAUGGGUCAUGUCAG